This 653-nucleotide long non-coding RNA is filed under the name Suricata suricatta (meerkat). RNAcentral describes it as "lncRNA (ENSSSUG00005000007.1)". The record is from RNAcentral. Lineage: Eukaryota; Metazoa; Chordata; Mammalia; Carnivora; Herpestidae.
CAGAAACGUAAGAGCGGCCGAAGCAAGAGCCAGGUCCCGGGGGGAAGGGCGCCCGUCGGUUCAGAGAGGAGCCCGGGCAGGCUGGAGCCACGCGACCGAGGGGGCGCAGGGGAGGGACCUACGGACUCAGCCCCCGCCCGUCCGUGCGGAGGGAGGGCCGGAGGCAGACGGGGCGGUCCUGCUCCCCCGACGGACGGCGCGGGGGCGGGGAGAUCAGUCACCGGGACGUGCUCCGGGACUGGAGGGAGGGACGAGCGCGGGAGGGGAAGGAAGUGUGCAGGAGGCUCUCCCGGCUGCCAGAGCUCUCCCAGGCGUGCGGGGGGCGUCAGGCCCAGGCUCUGAGACCCCCCGGGAUUCAGCCCCAGGGCGAGGGAUCAGGAGGGCAGAGGGACUCGGAGACACAGCAUGACCCCAGCUCCCGCCAGAUGCAAAGUAGUUUGACUCUGGAUCGUCGACACGCACGACUCCGCAAACGCCUGGAGGCGAGCUUCCACAGCGGACACAGCACAUCAAGCUCCAAGGGUCUCGACGCUAGCUCAUCUCGAGGAGCUUCUUCAGGUUCAGGAAGCAGAGCGCCAGGGUUUGAACCACAGCAGAAGGAAGCUUUCUGCAAAGACCGUCUGUAAUGAAGGACUGGAGUGUUGAAUAAAGUG